AAAAUCCGUCGACUUUUAAAAUCGUGAGGGG
This 31-nucleotide transfer RNA is filed under the name Galium verum var. asiaticum. RNAcentral describes it as "partial tRNA-Leu". Lineage: Eukaryota; Viridiplantae; Streptophyta; Magnoliopsida; Gentianales; Rubiaceae. The record is from RNAcentral.